AUGAAUCACAUCACUAAAUAUUUCACAAAGCUGUUCACAUCGGAAGUUCAGCAUCCGAAUCAAGAAGUUUUAUCACUUGUGCGUAAGAGAGUGUCAAACGAAAUAAACAAUGCUCUACUUGCUCCUUAUACCGUGAAAGAUGUCCGCAAGGCUUUAUUUGAUACUGGAGACUUGAAAGCUCCAGGACCAAAUGGACUCCACGUUAUCUUCUAUAAAAGGUUCUGGCCGAUGCUAGGGGAAGACCUAAUUGAGGAGGUUCUGAAAGCAAUCAACACAUGUACUAUCCCAAAUGGUUGGAAUGAUAUUACAAUCGUGAUGAUUCCUAAGAUUAACACACCAGAAAAGGUAUCCCAAUUUAGGCCAAUUAGCUUAUGUAAUGUGGUAUACAAAAUAAUUGCAAAAAUGGUGGCCUCUUGAUUGAAGAACCUUCUACCAAAAAUUAUUAGUCCAACACAAAAUGCUUUUGUACCAAGUAGAUUGAUAACGGAUAAUAUUUUAGUGGCCUACGAAUGUUUUCACACAAUCAAGAAUAAAAGAGAGGGUAGAGAGGGCUUGUGUGCUAUAAAACUUGACAUGCACAAAGCUUACGAUAGAGUCGAGUGGGCUUUUCUAAAGGAGAUUAUGCUGAAAAUGGGUUUCCUUCAAGAGUGGGUUAAUUUGAUUAUGCAAUGUGUCACAACAGUAGAAUACAAAGUACGGAUAAAUGCAGAGGAAAGUGAGAGUUUUAAGCCUAUUAGAGGGUUGAGAGGGGACCCGCUAUCACCAUACCUAUUCCUGUUGUGCAUGAAAGGGUUGAAUGCCUUGCUCUCGCAUCCUGAGGAGAACGGGAACAUAUCAGAAGUUAAAGUCUAUAGAGAUGCCCCACGAGUAACUAAUCUCCUCUUUGUGGAUGACUCGUUGAUCUUGAUGAAAGCCAACCAACAUAAUGCGGCCCUAAAAUCAGCACUAGAUUUAUAUUGCGCGGCGUCGGGACAACUGGUAAGCGUGGAAAAGUGUGGUAUUUUCUUUAGCCCCAAUACAAAGGUAGAGGUCGGAUAACACUUGUGUACAAUGCUCAAUAUAAUGAUGGAGGCCCUGAAUGACAAAUACUUGGGCUUGCCAGCAAAUGUGGGUGUUGAUAAAAUAGACUACUUUAAAUUUCUAAUUGAACAUAUUGUUAAGAAAAUUAGUGUUUGGAAGAAAAAACUACUAUCUGCCGGGGGGAAGGAGAUCCUGCUCAAGGCUGUGAUCCAAGCCAUACCUACAUAUGCAAUGUCGGUCUUUCAAAUUCCUAAAAAACAUUGUAAAGGAAUCAUUGACGCAAUAACACAUUUCUGGUGGGGAGACGAGGAGAACCAGAGGACGAUGCACUAG
RNAcentral lists this ribosomal RNA (1353 nucleotides) under Triticum aestivum (bread wheat). RNAcentral's name for it is "partial small subunit ribosomal RNA". Lineage: Eukaryota; Viridiplantae; Streptophyta; Magnoliopsida; Poales; Poaceae. The record is from RNAcentral.